UGGGGAAUUUUGCACAAUGGGGGAAACCAUGAUGCAGCGACGCCGCGUGAUUUAGAAGGCCUUCGGGUUGUAAAAAUCUUUUUUACGGGAUGAAAAUGACAGUACCGUAAGAAUAAGGUCCGGCUAAAUACGUGCCAGCAGCCGCGGUAAUACGUAUGGACCGAGCGUUGUCCGGAAUCAUUGGGCGUAAAGGGUACGUAGGCGGCCUAGUAAGUUAGAAGUGAAAUAAUAUAGCUCAACUAUAUAAAGCUUUUAAAACUGCUAGGCUUGAGAGAUGGAAGGGAAAGUGGAAUUCCUAGUGUAGCGGUGAAAUGCGCAGAUAUUAGGAAGAAUACCGGUGGCGAAGGCGACUUUCUGGUCAUAAUCUGACGCUGAGGUACGAAAGCGUGGGUAGCAAACAGG
Molecule: ribosomal RNA, 402 nt
Filed under: bacterium
Lineage: Bacteria
Description: partial 16S ribosomal RNA
Rfam family: Bacterial small subunit ribosomal RNA
Source: RNAcentral